RNAcentral lists this small RNA (404 nucleotides) under uncultured Glomus. RNAcentral's name for it is "SSU rRNA". It matches the Rfam family "Eukaryotic small subunit ribosomal RNA", at positions 569 to 978 of the family's 1831-position model. Lineage: Eukaryota; Fungi; Glomeromycota; Glomeromycetes; Glomerales; Glomeraceae. The record is from RNAcentral.
AGCAGCCGCGGUAAUUCCAGCUCCAAUAGCGUAUAUUAAAGUUGUUGCAGUUAAAAAGCUCGUAGUUGAAUUUCGGGACUAACAGGUUGGUCGCGCCUUUGGUGUGUACUGGUCUAGUUGGUUUCUCCCUUCUGACGAACCACGAUGUCAUUAAUCUGGUGUCGCGGGGAAUCAGGACUGUUACUUUGAAAAAUUAGAGUGUUUAAAGCAGGCAUUAGCUUGAAUACAUUAGCAUGGAAUAAUGAAAUAGGACGUUUGAUCUUAUUUUGUUGGUUUCUAGGAUCGACGUAAUGAUUAAUAGGGAUAGUUGGGGGCAUUAGUAUUCAAUUGUCAGAGGUGAAAUUCUUGGAUUUAUUGAAGACUAACUACUGCGAAAGCAUUUGCCAAGGAUGUUUUCAUUAAUC